GAUGAACGCUGGCGGCGUGCCUAAUACAUGCAAGUCGAGCGAACAGACGAGGAGCUUGCUCCUCUGACGUUAGCGGCGGACGGGUGAGCAACACGUGGAUAACCUACCUAUAAGACUGGGAUAACUUCGGGAAACCGGAGCUAAUACCGGAUAAUAUAUCGAACCGCAUGGUUCAAUAGUGAAAGACGGUUUUGCUGUCACUUAUAGAUGGAUCCGCGCCGCAUUAGCUAGUUGGUAAGGUAACGGCUUACCAAGGCAACGAUGCGUAGCCGACCUGAGAGGGUGAUCGGCCACACUGGAACUGAGACACGGUCCAGACUCCUACGGGAGGCAGCAGUAGGGAAUCUUCCGCAAUGGGCGAAAGCCUGACGGAGCAACGCCGCGUGAGUGAUGAAGGUCUUCGGAUCGUAAAACUCUGUUAUUAGGGAAGAACAAAUGUGUAAGUAACUAUGCACGUCUUGACGGUACCUAAUCAGAAAGCCACGGCUAACUACGUG
RNAcentral lists this ribosomal RNA (497 nucleotides) under uncultured bacterium. RNAcentral describes it as "partial 16S ribosomal RNA". It matches the Rfam family "Bacterial small subunit ribosomal RNA", at positions 28 to 507 of the family's 1533-position model. The record is from RNAcentral.